RNAcentral lists this ribosomal RNA (253 nucleotides) under uncultured bacterium. RNAcentral's name for it is "partial 16S ribosomal RNA". It matches the Rfam family "Bacterial small subunit ribosomal RNA", at positions 524 to 776 of the family's 1533-position model. The record is from RNAcentral.
UACGUAGGGUGCAAGCGUUAAUCGGAAUUACUGGGCGUAAAGCGUGCGCAGGCGGUUAUGCAAGACAGAUGUGAAAUCCCCCGGCUUAACCUGGGAACUGCGUCUGAUACUGGAAGGCUUGAGGAUGGGAGAGGGAUGUAGAAUUCCAGGUGUAGCGGUGAAAUGCGUAGAUAUCUGGAGGAAUACCGGUGGCGAAGGCGGCAUCCUGGACCAUUACUGACGCUGAGGCGCGAAAGCCAGGGGAGCAAACGGG